Molecule: ribosomal RNA, 873 nt
Filed under: Ahrensia sp.
Lineage: Bacteria; Pseudomonadati; Pseudomonadota; Alphaproteobacteria; Hyphomicrobiales; Ahrensiaceae
Description: bacterial SSU rRNA
Rfam family: Bacterial small subunit ribosomal RNA
Source: RNAcentral
AAACCUGAGAGUUUGAUCCUGGCUCAGAACGAACGCUGGCGGCAGGCUUAACACAUGCAAGUCGAACGCCCCUUUCGGGGGGAGUGGCAGACGGGUGAGUAACACGUGGGAAUCUACCUAUCGGUGCGGAACAACACAGAGAAAUUUGUGCUAAUACCGCAUACGUCCUUCGGGAGAAAGAUUUAUCGCCGAUAGAUGAGCCCGCGCUUGAUUAGCUAGUUGGUGAGGUAAUGGCUCACCAAGGCGACGAUCAAUAGCUGGUCUGAGAGGAUGAUCAGCCACACUGGGACUGAGACACGGCCCAGACUCCUACGGGAGGCAGCAGUGGGGAAUAUUGGACAAUGGGCGCAAGCCUGAUCCAGCCAUGCCGCGUGAGUGAUGAAGGCCCUAGGGUUGUAAAGCUCUUUCAACGGUGAAGAUAAUGACGGUAGCCGUAGAAGAAGCCCCGGCUAACUUCGUGCCAGCAGCCGCGGUAAUACGAAGGGGGCUAGCGUUGUUCGGAAUAACUGGGCGUAAAGCGCACGUAGGCGGAUUGGAAAGUUAGAGGUGAAAUCCCGGGGCUCAACCCCGGAACUGCCUUUAAAACUAUCAGUCUAGAGUUCGAGAGAGGUGAGUGGAAUUCCGAGUGUAGAGGUGAAAUUCGUAGAUAUUCGGAGGAACACCAGUGGCGAAGGCGGCUCACUGGCUCGAUACUGACGCUGAGGUGCGAAAGUGUGGGGAGCAAACAGGAUUAGAUACCCUGGUAGUCCACACCGUAAACGAUGGAAGCCAGCCGUCAGGAUGUAUACAUCUUGGUGGCGCAGCUAACGCAUUAAGCUUCCCGCCUGGGGAGUACGGUCGCAAGAUUAAAACUCAAAGGAAUUGACGGGGGCC